Molecule: long non-coding RNA, 233 nt
Filed under: Elaeis guineensis (African oil palm)
Lineage: Eukaryota; Viridiplantae; Streptophyta; Magnoliopsida; Arecales; Arecaceae
Description: long non-coding RNA (EGUI_LNC067506)
Source: RNAcentral
CCGACCUUCUAAAGGAGCAACUUUUAUUCAAUGUCGGCCUAAACCCUCUCAACCCUGCCAAUAUUUUUUCUUUCUCAAGUCAUUCGCAGCUUUCUCUUUCUCUUGUUCUGUUUCUAAGCUGUGCCGAUCUUUUUUCAUUGCAGAUAUGGAUGCAGACGCAGCUCAGAUACUAGCCAAGGGUCUCAAGGCCCAUAAGAAGAAAGGCACCGCAACUUCUGGGUCGGCGAAGAAGG